GCCCCUUCAGCCGACCUCCGUGCUGAAGACCAUCCCCAUUGCCUGGCCCUUCGCAGUUUGGGGCUUGGACAUGGUGGGACCUUUCCAGACGGCCCGAGGCGGCCUAACUCACUUGCUUGUCGCAGUGGACAAGUUCACCAAGUGGGUGGAAGCAAAGCCCAUCAAAAAGUUAAACGGGCCUACAGCAGUGACCUUCAUUGCUGACAUCACAGUACGGUAUGGCAUACCACACAGCAUCAUCACAGAUAACGGCACCAACUUCGCCAAAGGCGCCCUGGCUCGAUUCUGCGCGACGCAGGGCAUCCGACUAGACUUAGCGUCCGUUGCCCAUCCGCAGUCAAACGGCCAGGUGGAACGAGCUAACGGCCUCAUCCUGUCCGGCAUCAAUCCUCGAUUGGUCGAACCACUCGAGCGCUCGGCCGGCUGCUGGGUCGAAGAGCUGCCUGCCGUCCUCUGGAGUCUGCGCACGACCCCAAACAAGUCAACCGGCUUCACGCCUUUCUUCCUCGUCUACGGUGCCGAAGCCGUCAUUCCGACGGAUAUACAAUUCGACUCUCCACGAGUCUCCAUGUACACCGAGGAGGAAUCUGAAGAAGCACGCCAAGACGGUGUCGAUCUGCUGGAAGAGGGCCGACUGUUGGCACUCAGUCGGUCCGGCAUCUACCAGCAGAGUCUGCACCGAUACUACAAUCGCAAGGUCAAGCCAAGAUCACUCCAAGAGGGCGACCUUGUGCUCCGGCUGAUUCAGAGAACAGCCGGCCAACACAAGUUGUCGGCGCCUUGGGAGGGUCCCUUCAUCAUCAGCAAGGUGCUAGGGAACGACGCCUACUAUUUGAUCGACGCUCAGAAGCCUCGAGCACGCAAGAGGGGCGACUCCGGCAAAGAAACAGAGCGCCCGUGGAACGCGAAUCUUCUUCGAAGAUUUUACAGUUGAUGCAGUAUGUAUCGCGCUACCCCCUUUUGUAUUGAAAUACUAAGACCUUAGGCCUCCCGGGACGAGCUCGGGGACUGCCUUUUUGAUUAUCUGUAUGAUAUGGAUUACGCUUCCGAGUAUGCUUUCCCCUUUUAUCAUACUAUCUGGCACCGGGUCCGACUAGUCGGCCCGGGGACUCGCCACCUUGUGCUAUGAAAUGCUCCCUGAAGUCAGACAAGUAAUGUGCCGUGCUCAAAGCCGUCUCCUGCCGAAAGCCGCAGCUCACAGAGCGACUGUCGGUAAGCAGGGGACGGGAGAACGCGUGCACACAUGAAAAACGGCUAAGGACUUAAGAGCUACGCAUAGCCCAAGCCGGCUGCCAGCCUCCCAAUACCGAGCCGACUCGCGAGCAGUCGGCUCGCAAUCUCAAUUUUUAUCAAGGAUAGCCGACUCUCGAGAGUCGGCCUGUCGAUUUUCAGCCAACUCGCUAGGAUAUUCUAAACGACUAAGUACUUGCCUCCCUAAAGUAGCUGAGCACUUGACCCGGCGGCAGUCCGCAGAGCGGCUGCCCAGUCGGCAAGGCGAUGACUGAAGGAAGGCGGCAAAGGAAAAAGUCUAAAGAACUGAAGCAAGGAAAGGCGGAAAGUUGAUAAAUAUUUACAUAAGGCCCUUGGCCGAAUACACCCCGCGGGUGGAAUUGUUCGAAACUGACAAGUUUUUUUAAAAAAAGAACAAAAGAGACAGGUAGAACUGAAGCACUCUAGGGGGCGGCCUCCGGAGCCGGGGGGCCGGAGGUGGCGGCGGUGUCGGACGUCGGGGCAGUCGGCUGGGCGGUCUCGGCUUGGUCGCAUCCAGCGACGGUCGCCUUGUCCUUCUGAGGCUCGUUGCUGGAGGCACGAUCAGGCUGAGGCUGGCCGCCUGCUUCAUCCUCUGGAGCCUCCUCCUCGCCUCCGUCCUCCGACUCGUCCUCCUCCUCGGUGCUGGAGCCGAUCACCUCCGCCGAGUCCUCCUCGUACUCCGGGUGCAUCCUGAACCACUCCGGCGGCACCUCCUCGCCGCCAUCGGUCCGCUCGGGCACAAAGACACUGGUGUCCGUGUACUCGGCGAUGGCCGCCGCGCGCUCGACGAGGGCGCCUUCUACGGCCUCCAGCUCGGCCUGGGCCUCUGACCGGAACGCGGCCAGACGGUCCAGGUCCAGCCCCGGAUACCACCCUUUGACGAACUCCAAGGCCCGGCGUGCUCCGGCACGAGCCGAGGAGCCCCUCCAAGCCUCGAAGCGACCGGCGGCGACCUCCAGCCAGUCGGCCGUCCGGCUGGCGGUGCGAAGAGCUGGCACCUCCGGCCACAGGGCGGCAACGACUUGAGCGCCGGCACGUUGAAGACGGCGCAGCAGACGAUGAGCAGGACGAAGGCGAGCCCCGAUGCUCAGAAGCUGCUCGUCGAUGGUUCGGGGGGCAUUGGCGGCAAUCACUUCGCCCUUCGCCCUUCGCUCCUCCCGAGCCGCCUCGAUGGCCAGAGGAACGGCCUGCGAGUGGCCGGGAAAGAAGUCUGCCGAGACAGAAGAAAAGACAGUCAGAAAAACCCAAAAUCAGCCCGACACAGAGUCGGAAGACCGAAGAAGAGAAAAAAGAAUUACCGUCGAUGAUGUCCUCAAGCUCGUGGUAGCCGGAGGUCAGCAUCGCCUCCCGGUCGGUCCAGGCGGAGCGCUCGACCUCGAACUCGGCUAUGAGGGCAUCUUCCCGCGACUUGGCGUCUUCCUGCGCCUUCUGGAGCAGCUCUUUCUGCUCGGCCAGCUGCGUCGCCAGCAGGUCGCGCUCUUGGACGAGCUUGUCGCACUCCUCCUCCUUGGCGCGGCGAGUGGUGUUGGCCUCGUUCAUCUGCUCCUGGAGGGCGGCAUUGGCGUCUGAAGAGCGAGAGACAAGAACGUCAUCAGUAAAGAAGGUCGCCGGGGAGAUCCGGCCCGACUACUCAGUAGUCGGCCCGAAUCUCGGGGACUACGGCCCGCGGGCGCGCCAGCGCGCCCCCGCAGAGAAGAAAGAAGGAAGGUCGCCGGGGAGAUCCGGCCCGACUGCUCAGCAGUCGGCCCGAAUCUUGGGGACUACAGCCCGCGGGUGCGCCAGCGCGCCCCCGCGAAGGAGGAAGAAUUGGCUCACCUCGACUUUCCGUCAGAUCGGCGGUCCGCUUCCUCAGCUCUUCAACAUUGCGGUUGAAGGCGGUAGCGCGGAGAUUGUGGUAUUCCUGCAAAGCCGGCAAAGCAAAGUUAGCCUUCGAAGCUCGCCAGAAGGAGUUCCGAGUCGCCUGCUCAGCAGCCGACCCCGAACUCGGGGACUACACCCAGUGGGUGCGCUGGCGCACCCCCAUGGAAAAAGACAGAAACUAAAAAAAAGGAAAAAACGAAACGUACCCGGACGGAGGUCCGCAGGGCCAGAUGCGCCUUGGUGUAGAGUUGGAGGGUGUCGCCCUCUUUGCGCAGCUUCGACUGGACGUCCAGAAGAGCCUGGUUCAGAGGGCCGGUGCCGCCUUCGCGCAGCCAGCCGGUGGGCGCGGCACUUGAAGCCUCGACGUCCAAGUUCGCUGAGCUUGCAGCUGUUGACACACGAACACGUCACAUGUACCCUCGACGCCGGGGGUGAUGCACCGCAGCUCACGUCGAAGGAGACCCGACCGACAACGCGAUACGCAAGACAGUCGGCGGGUGCUUUUGCAGACCCGAAACCCCGCGCACCCGGGAGGGACCCCGUCAGGGAUUGCGGCGGCUAUGGGCUGCCCUAGGUCGAUUCGCUCGCCCCUAGAGCCUCGGGAUUCGCAGCUCUCAAACACGAAGAACAGCGAAGAACGAGAUAGAAAAACGGUGGAGAGAUAAAAAGUAGACAGGAAAAAGUAGUACAUUGAUUUGUUUGAUUGUGUGUUGUUCAAUCGGCCGUCACCCCCAACAUAUAUAAGAGGCGGCUGGACUUCCCGUACAAGUAAAGGAUUCAUCUAGGCUUUCCUUACAAGAAAAAUUACAUCAAUUCACGUCCUAGAGUCCUAGUUCUAUUCCAACUCGGAUCCAGUCUGAAUCUGGCCCAACUUCUGUCUUCCUCCUUGUGCAGGUCGCCGAGCCUCCAUAUGACCUCCGAUCAAGAUGGCCCAAAUAUCAAACUUGUGCGCCUCGACGAUACGAACAACUCUCAUGUUGAUCACUUUUUGAAAUAAGGCCAUCUUGAAUACUUUUCGAGGUCAUCUUUACCUUCCAGUCGGACUCGGUCUUGCGGUAGACUGAAUUAUCCGAGUCUUCUAGUGAAUUUGCAGGCCAUAUACUAUCUCUGAUGACGAUGACUCCAAAAGCAAAGUUUACCGUCUUGACGAUACGCACAACUUCUGUAUUGAACACUUCUUCAUCCGAGAUCAUCUUGAUAAACUUUUGGGCACAUGUUCAGUUUCACUCGGAUUUGAACUCAUCCACUCGGAUUUUAGAGUCUUUCACUUGGAUGGUCCGACUGGACUUUUUCACUCGGAUGACUAUAUUUUCACUCGGAAGACAAUCAAUUGGUAGGUUUUCACUCGACCUUUUACUCGAUCGGUAGGUUUUCACUCGACCUUUUACUCGAUCGGUAGGUUCUCACUCGACCGGUGACUCGAUCGGUAGGUUUUCACUCGACCGGUGAGUUUUCACUCGGAUGGUAAGCUUUCACUCGACCAAAAACAUAGCCUGAUCUUUAUUUGCCUCUCCAGGUUACAUACGACCUCGGAUUGAGACGAAUUUUAUAUGAAAAUCGAUCGGCUCGACGAGACGAAACUUUUUCUUGUUGAAGGUUUUUCGAUUCAAGGACUUCUUAAGGGCCUAAUUACUCGCGCGACCCAUCAGACAUGGCGUGUGAUACUUUGCGCCAGAUUUCCACUCAGCUUCGGCCUGCAGUGUAUUGCCUCUAACUUUUGCAUAUGAACUCGGAUUGAGAUGAUUUAUAUAUCAAAAUCGAUCGCCUCGACGAGACGAAGACAAUUCCUUUAGAAUACUCCUUCAUCCGAGGUCGUCUUAAGGGCAUGAUCGGCCGAAAACUACUCGGAAUGUUGAAUUUUGUCACUCGGAGUACAACUUCGGCCACCGAGAUAAGGUCGAAUGGCGAUAAGUUAAACACCAAAGUUAUUCCACUCGGCGACCUGAAACUUUGCAUGCCGAAAACUCUUUUACUUGAGGCCACCUUACUUGACUUUUGUACCUUGCCAAAAUCCGAUGUCAACACAUGCCCCCCUUGUUUUUCGGCAAAGCUUGCAUGCCGAAAAAUAAUAUGCACUGUGUUUGUUCUAAGGACGAUGUCAACGCUCCAUCGGCCAUUUAUUUUUCUCAGGGCGAUAAUUAUGUAUCGGCCAUGUUUGUGCUAAGGGCGAUAAUUGUAUAUCGGCCAUUGCCUACUCAGGCUUCCUGCCACACACUCGGGUGGUACUUCUUCAAAUAUUUUCCGUUGAGAGCUCGAGGUAACAAUGCCCCUUGUAUUGAUUCCACCAAAUAUGAAUUUCCGGGAACAACCCUUGUAAUCCUAAAAGGACCUUCCCAACUUGGAGACCACUUCCCAAAUUUUCUAUCUCUUGAACCAAUCGGCAGAAUCACUUUCCAAACGAGAUCACCAACUUGAAAAUUCUUCAACUUGACUUUCUUAUUGUAAGCUCUUGCUACCCUCAACUUAUCUCUCUCUAUGGACUCCAAAGCAACCAAACGUUUAUCGGCAACCUCAUCAAUAUUGUCCAUCAUUAAGUUAUAAAAGUCUACUGCCGAUAAAUCAUUUUGUUUGGCUAUUCUCAAAGCAUUCAAAUUUACCUCCACUGGUAAAACAGCCUCCUGACCAUAUACUAGCUCAUAUGGAGUCAUCUUCGUAGCAUCAUGUCUUGAAAUUCUGUGUGCCCAUAAAGCUUCAGACAACAACUCAUGCCAUCUCCUCGGAUUAUCCUCAAUCUUCUUCUUGAUGAGCUUGAUUAGAAUUUUAUUGCUAGACUCAGCUUGUCCAUUAGCUUGGGCAUAAUAUGGAGAGCAAUUGAGCAACUUUAUAUUAUAAGAUUCGGCAAACUCUCUGACUUGGUGUGACAUAAAAGAUGAACCUUGAUCUGUAGUUAAUGUUUGAGGAAUACCGAAUCUAUGAAUAAUGUGUUCGGUUAUGAAUCGAAUUACCUCCGUAUGUGUCAUGUUCUUGAGAGGUACUGCUUCAGACCAUUUAGUGAAAUAAUCAGUUGCCACCAAUACGAACCGAUGCCCUUUUGAGGAAGACGGGUGGAUUUGUCCAAUGAAAUCUAAACCCCAACCUCUGAAAGGCCACGGUUUGAUAAUAGGAUGUAACAUAGCAGCAGGAGCCAAAUGAAUAUCACCAAACUUUUUACAAGCUUCACACCCUUUAUAAUAUCUGAAGCAAUCAUUAAUCAUAGUCGGCCAAUAAAAUCCAGCACGUUGCAAUAACCAUUUCAUCUUGGGAGCCGACUGGUGAGUGCCACAAAUACCUUCAUGUACUUCUCCCAUAGCAACUCUUGCCUGGUCCUCAUCCAAACACUUUAGAAGAACAUCAUCGACUGUUCGGCGAUAAAGACCAUCAUCUCUCAUUGUAUACUUGAAAGCCAUACGCCGAACAGCCCUGUCUACCCUUUCACUCGGAUUGCACAAGUAAUCAACAAUGGGCUUUCUCCAGUCGGAAUUAUCACCUGCACUAGAUUUUUUGUUAAUGGCCGAAUCAGUGGGUUCAGGUUCGGCCUCUCCCAUAUUGGCAAGACAAGACAUUGGUCUUUGAGAGAUAUGAAACAUGCCAUGAUCAACAUGAUAUCCAGAUGCUUGCUGUGCCAACUCAUUUGCUUUCCAGUUGUCAUGUCUAGAUAUAUGUGCAAUGCUAAAACAAUCCAAAGUAGAAAUUAUAUCUAGACAUUUAUCAAGAUAAACAUUAAGUGAUUCGUCAAAACACUGAAAGACUUUGGAUAUUUGCUGCACCUCUAGUAACGAAUCACCGUAAGCCUCAAUAUGUGUAACACCUAUAGCAAGUAACAUCUCUAGACCGAAUAACAAUGCUUCAUAUUCGGCUUGAUUGUUUGUGCAAAAAUAUUCUAAGCGGCAUGAGGCUUCAAAAACAGCACCAUGAGGAGAUAUAUAAACAAUACCAACACCUUGGCCAUUGCUACAAACUGAACCAUCAAAGUAUAAUCUCCAUGGCACUAAUGAAACAAGGUUCAUAUCAACAUCAUGCUUGUCAUCAAUCCGAUGUUCAACAAUGAAAUUAGCAACAAUUUGGCCUUUCAUGGAUUUUAGAGAUUCAUAAGCCAAAUCAUACUCAAUCAAAGCAUAAGCCCACUUGCCAAUUCUACCACUAAGAAUUGGCCUAUGCAACAUGUACUUAAUGACACCGGUUUGACAAGCUACUACACAAGCACUCGGCACUAGGUAAUGUCUCAAUUUUGUGCAAGCGUAAUAUAAGCAUAGACAUAGUUUUUCAAUAAAUGUAUACCUUGUCUCGGCGUCCAAUAAACGUCUGCUCAAAUAUGUAAUGGCAUGCUCUUUUCCUUCGGUAUCUUGAGUUAAAACAGCACCAAUAACACCUUCCUCUGCUGCGAUAUAAAGUUUAAAAGGUUCUCUAUGCUUGGGUGCUUUCAUCACCGGAGGAGUGCACAAAUAAUUCUUGAUCAUAUCAAAGGCUUCUUGCUGUUUUGCCCCCCAAGUGAAAUCAACAUCAUUCUUUAACCGAAGGAUAGGAGUAAAUGCAUCAACUUUCCCUGACAGAUUAGCUAUGAACCUUCUCAAAUAAUUGACCUUGCCAAGGAACUUUUGCAUAUCUCUCUUGCAUGUUGGAGCCUCCACUUUCUGUAUGGCCUCUAUCUUUUUGGGAUCGAUUUCGAUGCCAUCUUCAUGAAUAAUGAAACCCAAAAAUUUGCCAGCUGACACGCCAAAUGCACACUUCAAAGGAUUCAUCUUCAGUCCAUACUUUUUCAUUCUUUCAAAAGCUAAACGCAAAUCGGCCAAGUGAGAUUCAAAAGCAUCCGAUUUGACAACAAUAUCAUCAAUAUAAACUUCAAGUAUGACACCGAGUAAAUCAUGAAAAAUCAAAUUCAUAUCCCUCUGAUAUGUGGCCCCAGCAUUUUUCAAUCCGAAUGUCAUCACUGUCCACUCGAAUAAACCAAGGAAACCAGGACAUCGGAAAGCUGUUUUGUACAUGUCCUCUUCGGCCAUAAAAAUUUGAUUGUAUCCGGCAUUACCAUCUAGAAAGCUAAUAACCUUAUGUCCAGAAGCAUCAUUAAUAAGCAUAUCGGCUAUUGGCAUGGGAUACUCAUCUUUGGGUGUAGCCCUAUUCACAUCUCUGAAGUCAAUGCACACCCUCAACUUGCCGGAUCUCUUCUUCUCUACUAGGACAAUGUUAGAAAUCCACUCGGCAUACCUGCAAGGUCGAAUGAAUUUAGCUUCAAGCAGUCGACCGAUCUCUUCCUUGAUCCGGUCAUAUGUUUUCGGAUUAAACUUUCUGGCCGAUUGUUUAUAAGGUCUAAAACCGGCCUUUAUAGGCAACCGAUGCUCCACUAGCUCUCGGCUCAACCCUGGCAUCUCAUGAUAUUCCCAUGCAAAGCAACAAACGUAUUCUUUCAAUAGCUCGAUUAACUUAGUUUUACAAUCGGCUUUCAAAUUUUUGUUUAUAAAUGUCGGUCGACUGACUGAUCCGUCUCCGAUAUCUACCUCUUCUAACGGAUCGGCCGAUGUAAAACCUUGUCCAAGUUUAUCCAUGUCAUCCAACUCCUCAACAGACUCAUACAUAUCCUUCUCGCUGGACCGAUAUUUUGCAAGACGUUUUUGUAACCACUCGGAAUUAGGAUCCAUUUAAACAUAUCAUACCUUGGAGCCGAUUGCAUUCAGUCGGUUUUAAAGACACGGGCACAAAACCAUUUUUGGUCGCACUGAGAAAAUCAAACUCUGAUAAAUCACGUCCCGUCAAGCAAGUAGCAUUGGGAUGUUGCCAAUCCACCGGUGCAUCGGCCAAAGCAACACAAGCUGAAUUAUCCGCAUGAAUGAUUUCCACUUCGUCAUCAACCCAUUGAAUCAAAAACUGGUGCAUAGUGGACGACACGCACUGGUUUGCAUGAACCCAAUCACGUCCUAGUAUGACGUUGUAGUUACCUUGCACAUCAGCGACAAAGAAUGCAGUAGCCAAAGUUUUGCUUCCGACUGUAAGCUCCACAUACAUCACACCUUUGGCUUCAGUUUUUUCUUUGCCUUCAAAUCCGUUGAGCACCAUAUUGGUCUUGAUCAAUUCUUCAUCAGGCAAACCCAAUUUCUUGAAGACCGAAUAGGGCAUAAGAUUUACCACAGCACCACCAUCAACAAGCAUCCGAGUGAGCGGAGACCCAUUGAUAUGACCUCUGAGAUAUAAUGGUUUCAGAUGCGUUACUGGUUCUUUUGGCUUCUCGAAUAUUGCAUUUUUAGGGCCAAAAUCCAGCUGAGCCACUUCCCCUUCCUCAUCUACAGCAUGAAACUCAGCAGGUAAGUAAUACACCAUAUUGAUAUCCAUACCUUCAUGAACCGGUGCAGAUUCAUAGUCCAAUAUAUCAGCCUCUUCUUCAAGUGGAUCGACCGAUUCUGAAAUCUGUCCGAGUGAAGGAGAGGUAAGAAGUGUCACAGACGAUGUAAUAGCUGUCGCAUCGUCCUCUUUGGGUGGUGUGGACACUUCUGUGAUAGAUGUAGAAGCUGAUGUAUCUUGUAUUUGUUUUGGCCUCCACACUUUUUUUGCUGGAACCAUGGGCCGAGUGUUAUUGAACAACUUAUCCCUUUGCUUCUCGGCCUCCUGCUCCGCCAUCUCUUGACUCCUUAACCUUUGUAGUUUCCUCUUCUGUGUCUUUGUUAGCCCUGGAGGACACCACUUUGGCCGAGUGUAUUUAGCAUCUCUCACCUUUACUUGGCUGGUGCUUGCUUCAUGGUCAUUAGCCGAGUGCUUUGGCGCGAUAGAAAGUAUCGGCUCAGUUGAGUGAUUAUGCACAGUCGACUGCUGUAUGGGGAAUGUUUCGGUGCCCAAGAUAAGUGAGUCGACAUCCAUUUUCUCCUUGCCUUUGCCCGACUCAACUGCUGCAACACUUGGUGACUUAACACGCCAUUCCUUUCGAUUUUCCAGAUGCAUGAAAUUUCCACUCGGGCGCACCUUUUUACUCUGAUGGAAUCCACUCGGAUUGAUGUCACUCGGAUGGUAUCCACUCGGAUGGUACUCAGUCGGAUGGAAUCUACCCAUCCACAUUUUUUCACUCGGAUAGCUUCCACCUGGGUGCAUUCUUACACUUGGAUAAUUUCCAUCCGGUCGCAUAUUUUGACCAGCCGACUGAUAGUUACCAAUGUUGAGUCGACCAUUAUAUGAGUAAUCAAUUCGAUCCCACACAGAUUGCCUCUGCUCUUCUGAAAACUGCGCCCUCGGUCCACUCGGUUUUGUGUACCGACUGAACAUAUCAACUGAUGGUGACCUUGGUCGUUUCAGAUGAGUCGGUCGAUUGAAACUAGAAUCAGCCGACUGAUUAGCAUAUUUGGACAGCAACAUAUCAAAAGUUGGCUUGAUCCGCUUGCGUUGCACUUUAGCUUCAUUCUUCUUCCACUUGCCAACUUCUGGACUCUUGGGCUUGACAAAUUUAACACGAGUAUUUUCUUGCACUUGCGGUUGCCCCCCGAGUGUAGGAUUCUUGAUGGUGAUUUUGAUCACUUCCUUGCCAUCGGGUUGCUUAUCAAGCACAACCUGUCUCCCCAAGACCUUGUUGUCUUCCUUGUCUUUCCUGGGCUCACCAACAAUGACAUUAGCUUUAUUAGCAGAUUCGGCUACCUCCGGCCGAAUGAGUAACUUCUUCCCUUCUAAAUCCAUGGCGUUCAUUGGAAAGGGUUGUUUAUCAACUUGCAUCUCAGAAAAGUUCAAUCGUCCGUCAUUAAUGGCCGAUUGUAUCUGUCGUUGAAAAACAUUGCAAUCAUUAGUAGCAUGAGAAAAAGAAUUAUGAUACUUGCAAUAAGCACGCCGUUUCAGCUCUUGAAACGGCGGUAAAGUAUGAGAUAUUCUAAUAAUCUUAGCCUGCAGCAAAGCAUCAAAUAUUCUAUCACACUUAGCAAUGUUAAAAGUAAACUUCAUCUCUUCAUCACGAUUCUUAUGAAUCGGUUUCAGAUCAUUGCAAGUAAAGGGUUUGGCCUUAGAUGGCCAAACAAAUUCAGUAGAAAAAACAUCACCCUCAUCGUCCGAGUGAUCACUGUCAUAUUCCACCAUAUUCAUCUUUGGACGACCGGCUUUGUAUCUAUGCACUUCUUUGAGGUCUUUGCUUCGGCUUUCCUGAGCCAAAGCCCUUUGUAAGACUUGGUUGAUGUUUAAGAACUCGUAGCCUUCUAGCUUUUCUCUAAUGGGAGUUCUCAAACCACUCAGCACUAGGUCUGCCAAGUCUCUCUCGGUUAUCACCAAACUAAAACACCGGUUUUUCGUAUCUCUGAAUCUCUUGACGUAAUCGGAGACUGAUUCAUCAUGCUUCUGCUUAACCGAUGUUAGAUGUGACAACUUGAGUUCAUUGUCGCUGCUAUAAAAGUGAUCAUGAAAUUUCUGCUCUAGCUGCGACCAAACUCGAAUGGAACCAUGUGGUAAAGAAGAAAACCAUGAAAAUGCGGUACCAGUUAAUGACAAAGGAAAUAAACGCACUUUCAACUCAUUCAGUGAGCCUGCCUCACCCAAUUGUGCUAAGUAUUGACUAACAUGCUCCCAUGUGGUUUUUGUGCCCUCUCCAUUGAACUUAACAAAAUCUGGAAUUUUAUAUCCUGGAGGGCACUGGAUAGCAUCAAAGUACUCGGGGUACGGCUUUUGGUAAAUCCGAUUCCGAGGUAACUCAACUCCAAAAUUUUCUCGAAGCAUCUUAGCCAUCUCCUCUCUAAGAUUAGCUAAACCAUCAUCCAUAGUGGACGAUGAAGCUUGUGGCAGUGGCAUAGGAGGGGUAGGGUUACUAGCUGUAGGUAGGAAUUGUGGCAUGUAUGUCGACCCAUAAUUUGGUAGUGGUCGAGUGGUUGUAGCUGUAGGUAGGGUUUGGUUCGGCGUCACCACCGAACCUGGCAUGCUCAUAAUAGGAUUAAUGGGUGCAGCCACAAUCUGAUUUGUUUGGGUAGGAUAAUAAGUCAUCGGCACGGGAGGCGCCGAUGAGAUAGGUAAAGCCAGAUUAGGGUUUUGCACACUAGCAGCUACACCAUCAUUACCACUAGUCGAUUGAGAUGUAUUCUUCUGAGCAUUAGUAUUUUCUAUGAAAGUUUGAUAGACUAGAUUGUUACCAUCAGCAAUACGACUUUCAAUCUCAGCCCACUGCUCAGGAGAAAAGGUAGUACUUACAGAGGGUUUAACCUGCUCGGCUUGCAAAGGAGGGAACUUGAUUUCUUCAAUCGGAGUGAUGUUGCCUUGGCGAUCCUUCUUGAACUUUGCAAGGAACUCCUGCAAGUCCUUCUCCUCGCGCGCCUUCUUGUACUCCUCAUAGACUUGGUGAUGAUCGGCCGAUAUCUCAUCAAGACUGGGCUUAAUGAUGUUAUCGGCGUCUACCUCAGAUGGCUUGGGAAGAUCGGACAUGGUGGAUGAUGAUGAUUGAUCUUCGGUCCCCAGCGGAGUCGCCAAAAAGUGUUUUGACACACGAACACGUCACGUGUACCCUCGACGCCGGGGGUGAUGCACCGCAGCUCACGUCGAAGGAGACCCGACCGACAGCGCGAUAUGCAAGACAGUCGGCGGGUGCUUUUGCAGACCCGAAACCCCGCGCACCCGGGAGGGACCCCGUCAGGGAUUGCGGCGGCUAUGGGCUGCCCUAGGUCGAUUCGCUCGCCCCUAGAGCCUCGGGAUUCGCAGCUCUCAAACACGAAGAACAGCGAAGAACGAGAUAGAAAAACGGUGGAGAGAUAAAAAGUAGACAGGAAAAAGUAGUAUAUUGAUUUGUUCGAUUGUGUGUUGUUCAAUCGGCCGUCACCCCCAACAUAUAUAAGAGGCGGCUGGACUUCCCGUACAAGUAAAGGAUUCAUCUAGGCUUUCCUUACAAGAAAAAUUACAUCAAUUCACGUCCUAGAGUCCUAGUUCUAUUCCAACUCGGAUCCAGUCUGAAUCUGGCCCAACUUCUGUCUUCCUCCGUGUGCAGGCCGCCGAGCCUCCAUAUGACCUCCGAUCAAGAUGGCCCAAAUACCAAACUUGUGCGCCUCGACGAUAUGAACAACUCUCAUGUUGAUCACUUUUUCAAAUAAGGCCAUCUUGAAUACUUUUCGAGGUCAUCUUUACCUUCCAGUCGGACUCGGUCUUGCGGUAGACUGAAUUAUCCGAGUCUUGUAGUGAAUUUGCAGGCCAUAUACUAUCUCUGAUGACGAUGACUCCAAAAGCAAAGUUUACCGUCUUGACGAUACACACAACUUCUGUAUUGAACACUUCUUCAUCCGAGAUCAUCUUGAUAAACUUUUGGGCACAUGUUCAGUUUCACUCGGAUUUGAGCUCAUCCACUCGGAUUUUAGAGUCUUUCACUCGGAUGGUCCGACUGGACUUUUCAAUCGGAUGACUAUAUUUUCACUCAGAAGACAAUCAAUCGGUAGGUUUUCACUCGACCUUUUACUCGAUCGGUAGGUUUUCACUCGACCUUUUACUCGAUCGGUAGGUUUUCACUCGACCUUUUACUCGAUCGGUAGGUUUUCACUCGACCUUUUACUCGAUCGGUAGAUUUUCACUCGACCUUUUACUCGAUCGGUAGGUUUUCAUCCGAAAGGUAAGCUUUCACUCGACCGGUGAGUUUUCACUCGGAUGGUAAGCUUUUCACUCGACCGGUGAGUUUUCACUCGGAUGGUAAGCUUUUUCACUCGACCAAAAACAUAGCCUGAUCUUGAUUUGUCUCCCCAAGUCUUAUACGACCUCGGAUUGAGACGAAUUAUAUAUGAAAAUCGAUCGGCUCGACGAAGCGAAACUUUUUCGUGUUGAAGGUUUUUCGAUCCAAUGCCGUCUUGAAGGCCAAAUUGCUCGCGCGACCCAUCAGACAUGGCGUCUGGUACUUCGCGCCAUAUUUCCACUCAGCUUCGGCCCGCAGUGUAUUGCCUAUAACUUUUGCAUAUGAACUCGGAUUGAGAUGAUUUAUAUAUCAAAAUCGAUCGCCUCGACGAGACGAAGACAAUUCCUUUAGAGUACUCCUUCAUCCGAGGUCGUCUUGAAGGCAUGGUCGACCGAAAACCACUCGGAAUGUUGAAUUUUGUCACUCGGAGUACAACUUCGGCCACCGAGAUAAGGUCGAAUGGCGAUAAGUUAAACAUCAAAGUUAUUCCACUAGGCGACCUGAAACUUUGCAUGCUGAAAACUCUUUCACUUGAGGCCAUCUUACUUGCCUUUUGUACCUUGCCAAAAUCCAAUGUCAACACAUGCCCCCCUGUUUUUCGGCAAAGCUUGCAUGCCGAAAAAUAAUAUGCACGGUGUUUGUUCUAAGGACGAUGUCAACACUCGAUCGGCCAUUUAUUUUCCUCAGGGCGAUAAUUAUGUAUCGGCCAUGUUUGUGCUAAGGGCGAUAAUCGUAUAUCGGCCAUUGCCUACUCAGGCUUCCUGCCACACACUCGGGUGGUACUUCUUCAAAUAUUUUCCGUUGAGAGCUCGAGGUAACAAUGCCCCUUGUAUUGAUUCCACCAAAUAUGAAUUUCCAGGAACAACCCUUGUAAUCCUAAAAGGACCUUCCCAACUUGGAGACCACUUCCCGAAUUUUCUAUCUCUUGAACCAAUCGGCAGAAUCACUUUCCAAACGAGAUCACCAACUUGAAAAUUCUUUAACUUGACUUUCUUAUUGUAAGCCCUUGCUACUCUCAACUUAUCUCUCUCUAUGGCAUUCAAAGCAGCCAAACGUUUAUCAGCAACCUCGUCAAUGUUGUCCAUCAUCAAGUUAUAGAAGUCUAUUGCCGAUAAAUCAUUUUGUUUGGCUAUUCUCAAAGCAUUCAAAUUUACUUCCACCGGUAAAACAGCCUCCUGACCAUAUACUAGCUCAUAUGGAGUCACUUUCGUAGCACAAUGCCUUGAGAUUCUAUGUGCCCAUAAUGCCUCAGACAACAAGUCAUGCCAUCUCCUUGGAUUAUCCUCAAUCUUCUUUUUGAUGAGCUUGAUUAAAAUUUUAUUGCUAGACUCGGCUUGUCCAUUAGCUUGGGAAUAAUACGGAGAGGAAUUGAGCAACUUUAUAUUAUAAGAUUCGGCAAACUCUCUGACUUGGUGUGACAUAAAAGAUGAACCUUGAUCUGUAGUUAAUGUUUGAGGAAUACCGAAUCUAUGAAUAAUGUGCUUAGUUAUGAAUUGAAUUACCUCCGUAUGUGUCAUGUUCUUGAGAGGUACUGCUUCAGACCAUUUAGUGAAAUAAUCAGUUGCCACCAACACGAAUCGAUGCCCCUUUGAGGAAGAUGGAUGAAUUUGCCCAAUAAAAUCUAAACCCCAUCCUCUGAAAGGCCACGGCUUGAUAAUAGGAUGCAACAUAGCAGCAGGAGCCAAUUGAAUAUCACCAAAUUUUUGACAAGCUUCGCACCCUUUAUAAUAUCUGAAGCAAUCAUUAAUCAUGGUCGGCCAAUAAAACCCAGCACGUCGUAAUAACCAUUUCAUCUUAGGAGCCGACUGGUGAGUACCACAAAUUCCCUCAUGUACCUCUCCCAUAGCAACUCUUGCUUGGUCCUCAUCCAAGCAUUUUAAAAGAACAUCAUCAACUGUUCGGCGAUAAAGGUCAUCAUCCCUUAUAGUAUAUUUAAAAGCCAUACGCCGAACAGCCCUGUCCACCCUUUCACUCGGAUUGCGCAAGUAAGCAACAAUGGGCUUCCUCCAGUCGGAAUUGUCAUCUGCACUAGAUUUUUUGUUAAUGACCGAAUCAGUGGGUUCAGGUUCGGCCUCUCCCAUAUUGGCAAGACAAGAUAUCGGUCUUUGAGAAAUAUGAAACAUGCCACGAUCAACAUGAUAUCUAGAUGCUUGUUGUGCCAACUCAUUUGCUUUCCAAUUGUCAUGUCUAGAUAUAUGUGCAAUGCUAAAACAAUCCAAAGUAGAAAUUAUAUCUAGACAUUUAUCAAGAUAAACAUUAAGUGAUUCGUCCAAACACUGAAAGACUCUGGAUAUUUGCUGCACCACUAGUAACGAAUCACCGUAAGCCUCAAUAUGUGUAACACCUAUAGCAAGUAACAUCUCUAGACCGAAUAACAAUGCUUCAUAUUCGGCUUGAUUGUUUGUGCAAAAAUUUUCUAAGCGGCAUGAGGCUUCAAAAAUAGCACCACGAGGAGAUAUAUAAACAAUACCAACACCUUGGCCAUUGCUACAAACUGAACCAUCAAAGUACAAUCUCCAUGGCACUAAUGAAACAAGGUUCAUAUCAACAUCAUGCUUGUCAUUAAUCCGAUGUUCAACAAUGAAAUUAGCAACAAUUUGACCUUUCAUGGAUUUUAGAGAUUCAUAAGCCAAAUCAUACUCAAUCAAAGCAUAAGCCCACUUGCCAAUUCUACCACUAAGAAUUGGCCUAUGCAACAUGUACUUAAUGACAUCGGUUUGACAAGCUACUACACAAGCACUCGGCACUAGGUAAUGUCUCAAUUUUGUGCAAGCGUAAUACAAACAUAGACAUAGUUUUUCAAUAAAUGUAUACCUUGUCUCGGCGUCCAAUAAACGUCUGCUCAAAUAUGUAAUGGCAUGUUCUUUUCCUUCGGUAUCUUGAGUCAAAACAGCACCAAUAACACCUUCCUUUGCUGCGAUAUAAAGUUUAAAAGGCUCUCUAUGCUUUGGUGCUUUCAUCACCGGAGGAGUGCACAAAUAAUUCUUGAUCAUAUCAAAGGCUUCUUGCUGUUUUGCUCCCCAAGUGAAAUCAACAUCAUUUUUUAACCGAAGGAUAGGAGUAAAUGCAUCAACUUUCCCUGACAGAUUAGCUAUGAACCUUCUCAAAUAAUUUACCUUGCCAAGGAACUUUUGCAUAUCUCUCUUGCAUGUUGGAGCCUCCACUUUCUGUAUAGCCUCUAUCUUUUUGGGAUCGAUUUUGAUGCCAUCUUCAUGAAUAAUGAAACCCAAAAAUUUGCCAGCUGACACGCCAAAUGCACACUUCAAAGGAUUCAUCUUCAGUCCAUACUUUUUCAUCCUUUCGAAAGCUAAACGCAAAUCGGCCAAGUGAGAUUCAAAAGCAUCCGAUUUGACAACAAUAUCAUCAAUAUAAACUUCAAGUAUGACACCGAGUAAAUCAUGAAAAAUCAAAUUCAUAUCCCUUUGAUAUGUGGCCCCGGCAUUUUUCAAUCCGAAUGUCAUCACUGUCCACUCGAAUAAACCAAGGAAACCAGGACAUCGGAAAGCUGUUUUGUACAUGUCCUCUGCGGCCAUAAAAAUUGGAUUGUAUCCGGCAUUACCAUCUAGAAAGCUAAUAACCUUAUGUCCAGAAGCAUCAUUAAUAAGCAUAUCGGCUAUUGGCAUGGGAUACUCAUCUUUGGGUGUAGCCCUAUUCACAUCUCUGAAGUCAAUGCACACCCUCAACUUGCCGGAUCCCUUCUUCUCCACUGGGACAAUGUUAGAAAUCCACUCGGCAUACCUACAAGGUCGAAUGAAUUUAGCUUCAAGCAGUCGACCGAUCUCUUCCUUGAUCCGGUCAUAUGUUUUUGGAUCAAACUUUCUGGCCGACUGUUUAUAAGGUCUAAAACCGGCCUUUAUAGGCAACCGAUGCUCCACUAGCUCUCGGCUCAACCCUGGCAUCUCAUGAUAUUCCCAUGCAAAGCAACAAACAUAUUCUUUCAAUAGCUCGAUUAACUUAGUUUUACAAUCGGCUUUCAAAUUUUUGUUUAUAAAUGUCGGUCGACUGACUGAUCCAUCUCCGAUAUCUACCUCUUCUAACGGAUCGGCCGAUGUAAAACCUUGUCCAAGUUUAUCCAUAUCAUCCAACUCCUCAAUAGACUCAUACAUAUCGUUCUCGCUGGACCGAUAUUUUGCAAGACGUUUUUGUAACCACUCGGAAUUAGGAUCCAUUUAAACAUAUCAUACCUUGGAGCUGAUUGCAUUCAGUCGGCUUUAAAGACACGGGCACAAAACCAUUCUUGGUCGCACUGAGAAAAUCAAACUCUGAUAAGUCACGCCCCGUCAAGCAAGUAGCAUUGGGAUGUUGCCAAUCCACCGAUGCAUCGGCCAAAGCAACACAGGCCGAGUUAUCCGCAUGAAUGACUUCCACUUCAUCAUCAACCCACUGAAUAAAAAACUGGUGCAUAGUGGAUGGCACGCACUGGUUUGCAUGAACCCAAUCACGACCUAGUAUAACAUUGUAGUUACCUUGCACCUCAGCGACAAAGAAUGCAGUGGCCAAAGUUUUGCUUCCGACUGUAAGCUCCACAUACAUUACACCUUUGGCUUCAGUUUUCUCUUUGCCUUCAAACCCGUUGAGCACCAUAUUGGUCUUGAUCAAUUCUUCAUCAGGCAAACCCAAUUUCUUGAAGACCGAAUAGGGCAUAAGAUUUACCACAGCACCUCCAUCCACAAGCAUCCGAGUGAGCGGUGACCCAUUGAUAUGACCUCUGAGAUAUAACGAUUUUAGAUGCGUCACUGGUUCUUUUGGCUUCUCGAAUAUUGCGUUCUUAGGGCCAAAAUCCAGCUGAGCAACUUCCCCUUCCUCAUCUACAGCACGAAACUCAGCAGGUAAGUAAUACACCAUAUUGAUAUCCAUACCUUCAUGAACCGGUGUAGAUUCAUAGUCCAACAUAUCAGCCUCUUCUCCAAGUGGAUCGACCGAUUCUGAAAUCUGGCCGAGUGAAGGAGAACUAAGAAGUGCCACAGACGAUGUAAUAGCUGUCACAUCAUGCUCUUUGGGUGGUGUAGGCACUUCUGUGAUAGAUGUAGAAGCUGAUGUAUCUUGUAUUUGUUUUGGCCUCCACACUUGUUUUGCUGGAACCAUGGGCUGAGUGUCAUUGAACAACUUAUCCCUUUGCUUCUCGGCCUCCUGCUCCGCCAUCUCUUGACUCCUUAACCUCUGUAGUUUCCUCUUCUGUGUCUUUGUUAGCCCUGGAGGACACCACUUUGGCUGAGUGUAUUUAGGAUCUCUCGUUUUUACCUGGCUGGUGCUUGCUUCAUGGUCAUUAGCCGAGUGCUUUGGCGCGAUAGAAAGUAUCAGCUCAGUCGAGUGGUUAUGCACAGUCGGCUGCUGUAUGGGGAAUGUUUCGGUGCCCAAGAUAAGUGAGUCAACAUCCAUUUUCUCCUUGCCUUUUCCUGACUCAACUGCUGCAAAACUUGGUGAUUUAACACGCCAUUCUUUCCGACUUUCCAGAUGCAUGAAAUUUCCACUCGGGCGCACCUUUUUACUUGGAUGGAAUCCACUCGGAUUGAUGUCAUUCAGAUGGUAUCCACUCGGAUGGAACUCACUCGGAUGAGAUCUACCCAUCCACAUUUUUUCACUCGGAUAGUUUUCACCUGGGUGCAUUCUUACACUCGGAUAAUUUCCAUCCGGUCGCAUAUUUUGACCAGCCGACUGAUAGUCGCCAAUGUUCAGUCGGCCAUUAUAUGAGUAUUCAAGUCGGCCCCAAACAGUUUGCCUCUGCUCUUCUGGAAACAGUGCCUUUGGUCCACUCGGUUUUGCAUACCAACUGAACAUAUCAUCUGAUGGUGACCUUGGUCGCUUCAAGUGUGAUGGCCGGUUAGAGCUGGGACCAGCCGACUGAUUAGCAUAUUUGGACAACAACAUAUCAAAAGUUGGCUUGAUCCGCUUGCGUUGCACUUUAGCUUCAUUCUUCUUCCACUUGCCAACUUCUGGACUCUUGGGCUUGACAAAUUUAACACGAGUAUUUUCUUGCACUUGCGGUUGCCCCCCGAGUGUAGGAUUCUUGAUGGUGAUUUUGAUCACUUCCUUGCCAUCGGGUUGCUUAUCAAGCACAACCUGUCUCCCCAAGACCUUGUUGUCUUCCUUGUCUUUCCUGGGCUCACCAACAAUGACAUUAGCUUUAUUAGCAGAUUCGGCUACCUCCGGCCGAAUGAGUAACUUCUUCCCUUCUAAAUCCAUGGCGUUCAUUGGAAAGGGUUGUUUAUCAACUUGCAUCUCAGAAAAGUUCAAUCGUCCGUCAUUAAUGGCCGAUUGUAUCUGUCGUCGAAAAACAUUGCAAUCAUUAGUAGCAUGAGAAAAAGAAUUAUGAUACUUGCAAUAAGCACGCCGUUUCAGCUCUUCAAACGGCGGUAAAGUAUGAGAUAUUCUAAUAAUCUUAGCAUGCAGCAAAGCAUCAAAUAUUCUAUCACACUUAGCAAUGUUAAAAGUAAACUUCAUCUCUUCAUCACGAUUCUUAUGAAUCGGUUUCAGAUCAUUGCAAGUAAAGGGUUUGGCCUUAGAUGGCCAAACAAAUUCAGUAGAAAAAACAUCACCCUCAUCGUCCGAGUGAUCACUGUCAUAUUCCACCAUAUUCAUCUUUGGACGAUCGGCUUUGUAUCUAUGCACUUCUUUGAGGUCUUUGCUUCGGCUUUCCUGAGCCAAAGCCCUUUGUAAGACUUGGUUGAUGUUUAAGAACUCGUAGCCUUCUAGCUUUUCUCUAAUGGGAGUUCUCAAACCACUCAGCACUAGGUCUGCCAAGUCUCUCUUGGUUAUCACCAAACUAAAACACCGGUUAUUCGUUUCUCUGAAUCUCUUGACGUAAUCGGAGACCGAUUCAUCAUGCUUCUGCUUAACCGAUGUUAGAUGUGACAACUUGAGUUCAUUGUCGCCGCUAUAAAAGUGAUCAUGAAAUUUCUGCUCUAGCUGCGACCAAACUCGAAUGGAACCAUGUGGUAAAGAAGAAAACCAUGAAAAUGCGGUACCAGUUAAUGACAAAGGAAAUAAACGCACUUUCAAUUCAUUCAAUGAGCCUGCCUCACCCAAUUGUGCUAAGUAUUGACUAACAUGCUCCCAUGUGGUUUUUGUGCCCUCUCCAUUGAACUUAACAAAAUCGGGAAUUUUAUAUCCUAGAGGGCACUGGAUAGCAUCAAAGUACUCGGGGUACGGCUUUUGGUAAAUCCGAUUCCGAGGUAACUCAACUCCAAAAUUCUCUCGAAGCAUCUUAGCCAUCUCCUCUCUAAGAUUAGCUAGACCAUCGUCCAUAGUGGACGAUGGAGCUUGUGGCAGUGGCAUAGGAGGGGUAGGGUUACUAGCUGUAGGUAAGAAUUGUGGCAUGUAUGUCGACCCAUAAUUUGGUAGUGGUCGAGUGGUUGUAGCUGUAGGUAGGGUUUGGUUCGGCGUCACCACCGAACCUGGCAUGCUCAUAAUAGGAUUAAUGGGUGCAGCCACAAUCUGAUUUGUUUGGGUAGGAUAAUAAGUCAUCGGCACGGGAGGCGCCGAUGAGAUAGGUAAAGCCAGAUUAGGGUUUUGCACACUAGCAGCUACACCAUCAUUACCACUAGUCGAUUGAGAUGUAUUCUUCUGAGCAUUAGUAUUUUCUAUGAAAGUUUGAUAGACUAGAUUGUUACCAUCAGCAAUACGACUUACAAUCUCAGCCCACUGCUCAGGAGAAAAGGCAGUACUUACAGAGGGUUUAACCUGUUUGGCUUGCAAAGGAGGGAACUUGAUUUCUUCAAUCGGAGUGAUGUUGCCUUGGUGAUCCUUCUUGAACUUUGCAAGGAACUCCUGCAAGUCCUUCUCCUCGCGCGCCUUCUUGUACUCCUCAUAGACUUGGCGAUGAUCGGCCGAUAUCUCAUCAAGACUGGGCUUAAUGAUGUUAUCAGCGUCUACCUCAGAUGACUUGGGAAGAUCGGACAUGGUGGAUGAUGAUGAUUGAUCUUCGUCCCCAGCGGAGUCGCCAAAAAGUGUGUUGACACACGAACACGUCACGUGUACCCUCGACGCCGGGGGUGAUGCACCGCAGCUCACGUCGAAGGAGACCCGACCGACAGCGCGAUACGCAAGACAGUCGGCGGGUGCUUUUGCAGACCCGAAACCCCGCGCACCCGGGAGGGACCCCGUCAGGGAUUGCGGUGGCUAUGGGCUGCCCUAGGUCGAUUCGCUCGCCCCUAGAGCCUCGGGAUUCGCAGCUCUCAAACACGAAGAACAGCGAAGAACGAGAUAGAAAAACGGUGGAGAGAUAAAAAGUAGACAGGAAAAAGUAGUAUAUUGAUUUGUUCGAUUGUGUGUUGUUCAAUCGGCCGUCACCCCCAACAUAUAUAAGAGGCGGCUGGACUUCCCGUACAAGUAAAGGAUUCAUCUAGGCUUUCCUUACAAGAAAAAUUACAUCAAUUCACGUCCUAGAGUCCUAGUUCUAUUCCAACUCGGAUCCAGUCUGAAUCUGGCCCAACUUCUGUCUUCCUCCUUGUGCAGCCCGCGGAGCCUCCAUAUGACCUCCGAUCAAGAUGGCCCAAAUAUCAAACUUGUGCGCCUCGACGAUACGAACAACUCUCAUAUUGAUCACUUUUUCAAAUAAGGCCAUCUUGAAUACUUUUCGACGUCAUCUUUACCUUCCAGUCGGACUCGGUCUUGCGGUAGACUGAAUUAUCCGAGUCUUGUAGUGAAUUUGCAGGCCAUAUACUAUCUUUGAUGACGAUGACUCCAACAGCAAAGUUAACCGUCUUGACGAUACGCACAACUUCUGUAUUGAACACUUCUUCAUCCGAGAUCAUCUUGAUAAACUUUUGGGCACAUGUUCAGUUUCACUCGGAUUUGAACUCAUCCACUCGGAUUUUAGAGUCUUUCACUCGGAUGGUCCGACUGGACUUUUUCACUCGGAUGACUAUAUUUUCACUCGGAAGACAAUCAAUCGGUAGGUUUUCACUCGACCUUUUACUCAAUCGGUAGGUUUUCACUCGACCUUUUACUCGAUCGGUAGGUUUUCACUCGACCUUUUACUAGAUCGGUAGGUUUUCACUCGACCUUUUACUCGAUCGGUAGGUUUUCACUCGACCNNNNNNNNNNNNNNNNNNNNNNNNNNNNNNNNNNNNNNNNNNNNNNNNNNNNNNNNNNNNNNNNNNNNNNNNNNNNNNNNNNNNNNNNNNNNNNNNNNNNNNNNNNNNNNNNNNNNNNNNNNNNNNNNNNNNNNNNNNNNNNNNNNNNNNNNNNNNNNNNNNNNNNNNNNNNNNNNNNNNNNNNNNNNNGGAUUUGAACUCAUCCACUCGGAUUUUAGAGUCUUUCACUCGGAUGGUCCGACUGGACUUUUUCACUCGGAUGACUAUAUUUUCACUCGGAAGACAAUCAAUCGGUAGGUUUUCACUCGACCUUUUACUCAAUCGGUAGGUUUUCACUCGACCUUUUACUCGAUCGGUAGGUUUUCACUCGACCUUUUACUCGAUCGGUAGGUUUUCACUCGACCUUUUACUCGAUCGGUAGGUUUUCACUCGACCGGUGACUCGAUCGGUAGGUUUUCACUCGACCGGUGAGUUUUCACUCGGAUGGUAAGCUUUCACUCGACCAAAAACAUAGCCUGAUCUUGAUUUGCCUCUCCAGGUUACAUACGACCACGGAUUGAGACGAAUUUUAUAUGAAAAUCGAUCGGCUCGACGAGACGAAACUUUUUCGUGUUGAAGGUUUUUCGAUUCAAGGACUUCUUAAGGGCCUAAUUACUCGCGCGACCCAUCAGACAUGGCGUCUGAUACUUUGCGCCAGAUUUCCACUCAGCUUCGGCCUGCAGUGUAUUGCCUCUAACUUUUGCAUAUGAACUCGGAUUGAGAUGAUUUAUAUAUCAAAAUCGAUCGCCUCGACGAGACGAAGACAAUUCCUUUAGAAUACUCCUUCAUCAGAGGUCGUCUUAAGGGCAUGAUCGGCCGAAAACCACUCGGAAUGUUGAAUUUUCUCACUUGGGGUACAACUUCGGCCACCGAGAUAAGGUCGAAUGGUGAUAAGUUAAACACCAAAGUUAUUCCACUCGGCGACCUGAAACUUUGCAUGCCGAAAACUCUUUUACUUGAGGCCACCUUAUGUCGGAGUAAUGGGCCAUGGGUAGGCUGACCCAGGACCCAAGAUCUUUCAAGACAUCGGGGCAGGCCGCGCCCCUCAGCCGAGUCCCAGCUGGCGACCUUCGAGAAGGCCGAGUCCCAGCAGGCGACCUUCGAGAAGGCCGAGUCCCAGCUGACGACCUUCGAAGAAGGCCGAGUCCCAGCUGACGACCUUCGAAGAAGCAGAGUCCGCAGAUGGCGUCUCUGAAGCACGCCGACUCCGGGCUUACGACCUCUCAAGGGGCCGACUAUGAGAGUCAGCCCGCGACCUUGCACAAAGACCGAUGCGGGGUACCGCCCCAUCGUGGCUGUCCCCUCGGACCCACGGGAGGAAGGCAUGGCUACAGUGAGCCGCGUCGCCAGGAGAUCUCCGGUGAGGCGCGGCACUGUUGCCAUGCCUCCCUUAACCUCAGCCACAGUGCACAAGGCACUGUGCCCACGACGGCGGCGCGUACGGCCCAGAGAUCGCCGGGCCCCCUAUCAGUGAGAUAGAAGAAGACGGCCGGGGAGCUCGAAGACGGCCCUGCGGGAGCCGGCCUCUCCAGAGUCGGCCGCCUCCCGGCCAGGGCCCCACAGGCCAUAAACCAGAUUGGACCGGGAGUGGUGACAGUGAUCGCCUGACAGGCGGCGGCACUGUUCCCACGACCCCAUGACCGAGCCUGCGUCAUCAGGAGCGCUGCACAGUGUUCUGCCUGUCCGCAGGACCCGCCAGUCGGCGGGCCCCAGAAGCCGGCGGGGAGGACGGCUGCCAGAGAGACUGACGACUGGGGGCCACGCCCAGUCAGAUUACCAUUGUACCCCCGGGGGGUAGGCCUAUAUAAACCCCCCGGGGCACCCAUGCAAAGGGUUCGGCCCUGGACAGGUUUAGACACAUAGCAGGAGGGGGAAAGAGCUAGCCUUGCUCCUCCCUGCCUCCAAACAGCUCGAGGAGCACCUUUGUACUAUCACCCCAUAGUGAUCAUGCGGAGACCCCGCAGAGCAGCAGUAGGGGUGUUAUCUCCUCGGAGAGCCCCGAAGCUGGGUAAGAUUCACCGGCGUGCAUGUCUUCGCCUCAUCCCGUUUCCAGGCACCGGCGACGUUCUACUCGCCCCCACCAUGAUAAGCCACCCGUUGGCAUAUGUCGCAUCCAACCCCCGACAUUUGGCGCCCACCAUGAGGCGAGGUGCACCGUCGUCCGGAGAUCUGUUCUGGACGGGAACCCUUUUCCUCCCUGGCGAGCGCAGCCAGCCCGGCUCGCCAGAUGGAGUCUGCAUCGAUGCAUUGCGCGGUGCUGAAGCCGCCUGCGCAGCGAGCGGCCUCGCCGAACUCAUCGGCAAGGUGCGCCUCUCCGACGAACCCGUGCUGAGCGCAGGCGCGGGUGGCCCCGAGAGCCUUCUUGCGGGCCUCCUUGACCAACUUCAAGUCGCCGGCGAGCCCGCUGUAGACUUGGAGUCCGUAGGCUCCUCCGACCCGAUGCUGGUCGACUCCGACGCUGUAUCGCUUGAUAUCUUCCCCACCAACGUGGUGGUCUACGACGAGCCGCUUCCAUACGAGGAGAGCGACGGAAGCGCCGUCACGGAGGUGCUCGUCAUCGGCCACGGCGAGCACUCCGGUGAAAACGCCCAGGACCCGCUGCCUGCGGCCCUGCAGGACCUGUCCGCGCCCAUCCCAGAGGACACGGACGCAGAGAUGCUGGAAGAACGCCGCCUUCAGAUCAUUGAAGGCGCCAAGAAGUUGGCAAGCAUGAGACGCUUGUCCGAAGCAUAUCAGCGCGAGAUGGAUCGUGCUGUGGGCGGCUCGCCGGCUCCGACUGGGCCGAGCCAUCUCGGUGCGGUCCGAGAGCGCGGCGCAGCCAUCGCCGAUCUGUUCGGAGCGAAGCGCCCCGUGUACGCCACCCCCGCGGAGAACAUCCGCACCGCCCAAGCGGCGACCGAAGAGCUAAGGAACCUCGAAGGCGAAGAGCGCCGUGUAAUAACGGAGCGUGUCCAGCAGCUCCUCGAUGCGGUUGCUGCGCAGAACGCGGCAGGCGGCCGCACCGACGCGCAGCAGCAGCAGCAGAAUGACGACUUACCCCCUCGCCGAGACCAAGGCGCGACCUCCCGGACGCCGACUGGCGGAGUCCGCGGGAGGAAAGAGAAGGAGCCGGCUGCGAGCCACAGCCGGACUCGCAUCACCAUCGAGCGCGACCAAGAUGGCCGCCCCAGAGCAGUGGAGCGGCGAGAUGAUUACCUGCCUCCCCCGCCCCGAAGAGAAUGGCGAGUCUCUCCGCCGCCUGUUGAGCAUCCGACUCUCAGAGGUCGCCUUGGCCGCCGAGAGGGAGUCGGAGAGAACGAUGCCCGCCACCGGAUCGACCGACUCCACAGAUCCCUGGCGUUAGAAGAAGAAGAUGAGCUGGGUCCGCCUUGCUUCGGGCCCCGCAUCAGAGACGAGCCCUUCCCCAAAGGGUUCACGCUCCCCCGAGAUACGCCCAAGUACACCGGCUCCGUGAAGCCGGAGGAUUGGUUGAUAGACUACUCCACAGCCGUCAACAUCGCCAACGGCAACAAGCGGGUUGCCGUAAAAUAUGUUCCCCUCAUGCUCCAGGGCACGGCUCUGACAUGGCUGAACAGCCUGAAGCCCCGCAGCAUCAACAGCUGGGUCGACUUCACUAAAGCCUUCAUUCGCAACUUCACCAGCACGUACAAGCGACCUCCCAAGCCGCGCCAGCUCUCCUUGUGCGUGCAAGGCCCCGAAUAAUCGACGCGCGACUACCUCACGCGCUGGGGCGAACUCCGAAACUCCUGCAAGGGCAUGCACGAGGUGCAGGCCAUUGAGUACUUUACGGCCGGGUGCCGAGAGGGAACCCUCCUCAAGCACAAGCUCCUCUGCGACGAGCCCGAAACCCUCGACGAACUGCUAAUCAUAGCAGACAAGUACGCCACGGCCGACUCCUCUAUGAAGACGGAGAUCCAAGUCAACGCGGCUGGCAAAGUGACUCCCCAGGCCCCCAGAACCCCGGCUGGAGACGCCAGCCGGCGACAGCAACAGAAUGACAACAAGCGCAAAGCCCCCCAGCCGACUUCCAAUAGUCGGCAAGUCGCAGCAGUAGAAGAUCAGCAACCAGAGGGGCAGCCUCCGGCCAAGCGGCAGAACGGCGGCAAGUCCAAUUGGUUGCCGGCCUUCUCCUAUGAGCAGACUCUGGAUGGUCCUUGCAAGUUUCACAGCGGCGCAAAGCCGUCGAACCACACCACCAGAAAGUGCCACUGGCUCGUCAGGAUCGCCAAGGGGGACGGCCUCGCCCCCCUGCCGCCUGCGGGGCCGCCGCCGCCUCCGCCGCCUCCGCAGCCGACGGCUCGGCCAGUCGGCGCAGUCCAAGACGAGUUCCAGAAGAGCACGGAGCAUACGUUGUGUUCACCAGUCUGGCAGAUGAUCGGCACAGCAGGCGCCAGCAGCAGCAAGAAGUCAACGCAGUGGCAGUAGAAGCUCCCGAGUUCAUGCAUUGGUCCGAGAAGCCUAUCAGCUGGAGUCGGGUAGAUCACCCAGAGGUGAUGCCGAGUCUGGGCUCUUACGCCUUGGUUCUCGGAGCAACCUUGGCCGCUGAUAGGCGGGCCGCUCGUUUCUCGCGGGUCCUGAUAGACGGAGGCAGCAGCAUAAACAUCUUAUACAAGGAUACCAUGGAGAAGCUCGGAAUCAGGCGGAGGCAGCUGCAGAGCAGCCGCACCGUGUUCCUUGGAAUCGUACCCGGCCUCUCCUAUUCGCCGAUUGGCAAGAUCCUGAUAGACGUCCUCUUCGGAGACAAAGAUCACUUCCGCCGAGAGCCAAUCUGGUUCGAGGUGGUGGAUUUGGAGAGCCCGUACCACGCGCUGCUAGGUCGGCCUGCCCUAGCCAAAUUCAUGGCGGUUCCCCACUACGCCUACCUCAAGAUGAAGAUGCCGACUUCCAAGGGGAUCCUGACCAUUGCCGGCGACUACAAGAAGUCGUCCGCCUGUGCGGCCGAGAGCAGUCGGCUGGCCGAGUCUUUGGUGAUCGCAGCCGAGAAGCGGCUCCUUGAUCGUGUCGUGGCGAUGGCUGGGAAGCAGCCGGAGAUGUCGCCUGACCCCAAGGAGUCGGAGGCAGAAGGAUCAUUCAAGCCGGCUAAAGAAACCAAGAAGAUACCCUUGGACCCGGAGCACCCAGAGAGGUACGCUGUCAUGGGCACUGGCCUCGACAGCAAAUAGGAAGGCGAGCUCGUCGAUUUCCUCCGUGAGAAUCGGGACAUCUUCGCGUGGUCCCCCAAGGACAUGCCAGGUGUACCGACGGAAUUCGCCGAGCACAAGCUACAUGUCAGGCCGGAUGUGAAGCCCGUCAGGCAGCCUUUGCGCCGCCUGUCAGAAGAGAAGAGAAGAGUCAUAGGAGAAGAGAUAGCCCGACUCCUGGCAGCCGGCUUCAUCAUGGAUGUGUUUUUUCCAGAGUGGUUGGCCAACCCUGUGCUGGUACUGAAGAAGAAUAAGCAGUGGCGGAUGUGCAUUGAUUACACCAGCCUCAACAAAGCCUGCCCAAAGGACCCGUUUGCUCUGCCAAGGAUCGAUCAAGUGAUAGACUCCACAGCCGGAUGCGAGCUGUUGAGCUUCUUGGAUGCAUACUCAGGAUAUCAUCAGAUCAAGCUGAAUCCAGCAGACAGACUGAAGACCGCAUUCAUCACGCCGUUUGGAGCCUUCUGCUACCUGACGAUGACGUUCGGCUUGAGGAAUGCCGGUGCCACCUUUCAGCGUUGCAUGCAGAAGUGCCUCCUCAAGCAACUCGGCAGGAACGCCCAUGUUUAUGUAGAUGAUGUGGUGGUAAAGACAGAGAAGCGUGGGACGCUGCUAGAAGAUCUCAAAGAGACCUUUGAGAAUCUGCGCCGAUUCCAGAUCAAGCUCAAUCCAGAGAAAUGCGUGUUCGGAGUCCCAGCCGGCCAGCUCCUUGGUUUUCUGGUCUCCGAACGCGGCAUAGAGUGCAACCCUGUGAAGAUCAAGGCCAUUGAGAGGAUGGAGGUACCCAGCCGACUGUUGGAUGUACAGAAGUUCACCGGCUGCUUGGCUUCAAUAAGCCGAUUCAUCAGUCGGCUGGGCGAGAAAGCUCUGCCGUUGUAUCAAUUGAUGAAGAAGACCACUUUUUUUGAGUGGAACCACAAGGCAGAUGAGGCAUUUCUCCAACUGAAGAAGAUGUUGACGACUCCCCCUGUGUUGGCGGCUCCGACUCCCAAAGAGCCCAUGCUCCUAUACAUCGCCGCUACCAGCCGGGUAGUCAGCACAGUUAUUGUAGUCGAACGCAAGGAGGAAGGCAAGGCGCUCCCGGUCCAGAGACCAGUAUAUUACCUGAGCGAGGUACUGUCGACCGCCAAGCAGAACUACCCUCACUACUAGAAGAUGUGCUACGGCGUGCAUUUUGCCGCCAAGAAGCUAAAGCCCUACUUUCAAGAGCAUCCUAUCACCGUGGUCUGCACCGCCCCACUCGCCGAGAUCAUCGGAAGUCGAGAUGCUUCCGGCCGAGUGGCCAAGUGGGCUAUCGAUCUAGCUCCCUACACCAUCUACUACCAACCUCGCACCGCCAUCAAGUCGCAGGCGCUAGCCGACUUCCUCGUCGACUGGGCCGAGACUCAAUACUUGCCGCCCGCGCCCGACUCUACUCAUUGGCGACUGCACUUCGACGGCUCCAAGAUGCGCUCCGGCCUCGGAGCCGGCAUCGUCCUCACCUCCCCCAAGGGCGACAAGCUCAAAUACGUGCUGCAAAUCCACUUCGCCGCCUCCAACAACGUCGCCGAAUAUGAAGCGCUCAUCCACGGGCUCCGGCUUGCCAAAGAACUCGGCAUUCGCCGGAUCCUGUGCUAUGGUGACUCCGACUUGGUGGUUCAGCAAUCAUCCGGCGACUGGGACGCCAAAGACGCAAACAUGGCAAGCUACCGCUUCUUGGUGCAGCAACUCAGCGGAUAUUUUGAAGGAUGCGAAUUCCUCCACGUGCCAAGAAACGACAACGAUCAAGCAGACGCAUUGGCGCGAGUCGGCUCCACUCGCCAGGCGAUACCUUCCGGCGUCGCCCUUCAGCGCCUCCUCAAGCCGUCUAUCAAGCCUACACCAGAAUCCGACUCCAUUUUCGUGCCGGCUCCCCCAGAGAUAGUCGGAUCCGACUCCAAGACCCCAGCAAGCGACCUCAAGAAAGCCACAGUCGGCCCGGGGAGUGCGCCAGUCGGCCCGGGGACUGCGCCAGUCGGCCCAGGGACUGCGUCAGUCGGCCCGGGGACUUCAGAGCCUGACCCAGGGACUGCGUCAGUCGGCCCGGGAGCUGCCCCAGUCGGCCCAGAGAUUCCCUCAAUUCAGCAAGCGGCAGCAGAAUCCAACCCGCCGCCUCCCAGCCCAGCCGCCCUUGUCCAAGUCGCUGUGGUGGCAGUUGAAGAGAUAGCAGCACCUUCAUGGGCGCAGCCCAUCCUCAAGUUCCUAGUAAACAAGGAGUUACCUGCAGACGAGACUCUGGCUCGGCAAGUACAACGCCGAGCGGCAGCCUACACCAUAGUCAACAGAGAGUUAGUCAGACGCAGCGUCACUGGUGCCCACCAGCGCUGCGUAGAAUCAGAGCAAGGCCAAGCGAUCCUCAGAGACAUCCAUCAGGGCGAGUGUGGCCACCAUGCGGCCUCGAGGGCGCUCGUGGCCAAAGCCUUUCGGCACGGUUUCUUUUGGCCGACUGGCCUGGAAGAAGCUAAAGAACUAGUCAAGAAGUGCAAGGGGUGCCAGGUGUUCCGCUCCAAGCCCCUUCAGCCGGCUUCUGCGCUGAAGACAAUCCCCAUCACCUGGCCCUUCGCAGUUUGGGGCCUGGACAUGGUGGGACCUUUCAAGACGGCCCGAGGCGGCCUAACUCAUUUGCUUGUCGCAGUGGACAAGUUCACCAAGUGGGUAGAAGCAAAGCCCAUCAAGAAAUUAAACGGGCCCACAGCAGUGACCUUCAUUGCCGACAUCACAGUGCGAUAUGGCAUACCGCACAGCAUCAUCACAGACAACGGCACCAACUUCGCCAAAGGAGCCUUGGCUCGUUUCUGCGCGACGCAGGGCAUCCGACUGGACCUAGCGUCCGUUGCCCAUCCGCAGUCAAACGGCCAGGUGGAACGAGCCAACGGCCUCAUCCUGUCCGGCAUCAAGCCUCGAUUGGUCGAACCACUCGAGCGCUCGGCCGGCUGUUGGGUAGAAGGGCUGCCUGCCGUCCUCUGGAGCCUGCGCACGACCCCGAACAGGUCAACCGGCUUUACGCCGUUCUUCCUCGUCUACGGUGCCGAAGCCGUCAUCCCGACGGAUAUACAAUUCGACUCUCCGCGAGUCUCUAUGUACACCGAAGAGGAGGCUGAAGAAGCACGCCAAGACGGUGUCGACCUGCUGGAAGAGGGCCGACUGUUGGCACUCAGUCGGUCCAGCAUCUACCAGCAGAGUCUGCGCCGAUACUACAACCGCAAGGUCAAGCCAAGAUCAUUCCAAGAGGGCGACCUUGUGCU
Molecule: long non-coding RNA, 31192 nt
Filed under: Triticum aestivum (bread wheat)
Lineage: Eukaryota; Viridiplantae; Streptophyta; Magnoliopsida; Poales; Poaceae
Description: long non-coding RNA (TAES_LNC007688)
Source: RNAcentral